RNAcentral lists this ribosomal RNA (253 nucleotides) under uncultured bacterium. RNAcentral describes it as "partial 16S ribosomal RNA". It matches the Rfam family "Bacterial small subunit ribosomal RNA", at positions 524 to 776 of the family's 1533-position model. The record is from RNAcentral.
UACGUAGGUGACCAGCGUUGUCCGGAUUUACUGGGCGUAAAGAGCGCGCAGGCGGUCGUUCAAGUCGAGUGUGAAAGCCCCCGGCUCAACUGGGGAGGGUCACUCGAUACUGAUCGACUUGAAGGCAGGAGAGGGAAGCGGAAUUCCCGGUGUAGUGGUGAAAUGCGUAGAUAUCGGGAGGAACACCAGUGGCGAAGGCGGCUUCCUGGCCUGUUCUUGACGCUGAGGCGCGAAAGCUAGGGGAGCAAGCGGG